GUGUCAGCAGCCGCGGUAAUACGGAGGGGGCUAGCGUUGUUCGGAAUUACUGGGCGUAAAGCGCGCGCAGGCGGGCUGUUAAGUCAGGGGUGAAAUCCCGGGGCUCAACCCCGGAACUGCCUUUGAUACUGGCAGCCUAGAGUUCGAGAGAGGUGAGUGGAAUUCCGAGUGUAGAGGUGAAAUUCGUAGAUAUUCGGAGGAACACCAGUGGCGAAGGCGGCUCGCUGGCCCAUUUCUGACGCUGAGGUGCGAAAGCGUGGGGAGCAAACAGGAUUAUAUACCCUGGUAGUCCACGCCGUAAACGAUGAGUGCCAGACGUCGGGCGGCUUGCCGUUCGGUGUCGCAGCUAACGCAUUAAGCACUCCGCCUGGGGAGUACGGCCGCAAGGUUAAAACUCAAAUGAAUUGACGGGG
Molecule: ribosomal RNA, 413 nt
Filed under: uncultured prokaryote
Description: bacterial SSU rRNA
Rfam family: Bacterial small subunit ribosomal RNA
Source: RNAcentral